Molecule: ribosomal RNA, 254 nt
Filed under: uncultured bacterium
Lineage: Bacteria
Description: partial 16S ribosomal RNA
Rfam family: Bacterial small subunit ribosomal RNA
Source: RNAcentral
UACGGGGGGAGCAAGCGUUGUUCGGAUUUACUGGGCGUAAAGGGCGCGUAGGCGGUCGUGACAAGUCACUUGUGAAAUCUCCGGGCUUAACUCGGAACGGUCAAGUGAUACUGUCGGACUAGAGUACAGAAGGGGCAACUGGAAUUCUCGGUGUAGCGGUGAAAUGCGUAGAUAUCGAGAGGAACACCUGCGGCGAAGGCGGGUUGCUGGGCUGAUACUGACGCUGAGGCGCGAAAGCCAGGAGAGCGAACGGG